This is a non-coding RNA of Caenorhabditis elegans, 150 nucleotides long. Lineage: Eukaryota; Metazoa; Nematoda; Chromadorea; Rhabditida; Rhabditidae. The record is from Ensembl.
CUGUCUGCCCUUUGCUCCCUCUUUUCUGACCCUUCCAUACUGUCCAGCUCCAAGCAGCAAAUAAGCACACACCCGCACAAUGUCCACCACUUUCGGCUCGAAACUGGCUUCACUCUUAUUUCAUUUUCCGUCAUGUUUUGUGUUUUCAUU